This 560-nucleotide ribosomal RNA is filed under the name Callosciurus phayrei. RNAcentral describes it as "partial large subunit ribosomal RNA". It matches the Rfam family "Bacterial large subunit ribosomal RNA", at positions 1797 to 2590 of the family's 2925-position model. Lineage: Eukaryota; Metazoa; Chordata; Mammalia; Rodentia; Sciuridae. The record is from RNAcentral.
CGCCUGUUUACCAAAAACAUCACCUCUAGCAUAACUAGUAUUAGAGGCACUGCCUGCCCAGUGACACACGUUAAACGGCCGCGGUAUCCUGACCGUGCAAAGGUAGCAUAAUCACUUGUUCCUUAAAUAGGGACUUGCAUGAAUGGCCAAACGAGGGUUAAUCUGUCUCUUACUUUUAAUCAGUGAAAUUGACCUUCCCGUGAAGAGGCGGGAAUAAGCAAAUAAGACGAGAAGACCCUAUGGAGCUUAAAUUUAUUAACUCAAGUAAUUACCCAUAAAAAUCUACAAGAUACAACUUCCUUACUCAUGAGUUAAAAAUUUUGGUUGGGGUGACCUCGGAGUAUAAAUUAGCCUCCGAAUGAUUAUAAUUUAGACUAACCCGUCUAAAUCCACGUUCAUUAAUUGACCCAAACUUUUGAUCAACGGAACAAGUUACCCUAGGGAUAACAGCGCAAUCCUACUCAAGAGUCCAUAUCGACAGUAGGGUUUACGACCUCGAUGUUGGAUCAGGACACCCAAAUGGUGCAGCCGCUAUUAACGGUUCGUUUGUUCAACGAUUA